This 758-nucleotide ribosomal RNA is filed under the name uncultured bacterium. RNAcentral's name for it is "bacterial SSU rRNA". It matches the Rfam family "Bacterial small subunit ribosomal RNA", at positions 147 to 922 of the family's 1533-position model. The record is from RNAcentral.
CAGUCCGAAAGGACUGCUAAUACCGCAUACAUUCGAGGUGUCUAGAAAACCUUGAAGAAACUUCCGGGGUGGAGGGAGGGUGCUGCGGCCCAUCAGGUAGUUGGUGAGGUAACGGCUCACCAAGCCGACGACGGGUAGGGGGCCUGAGAGGGUGACCCCCCACACUGGAACAGACAUACGGUCCAGACUCCUACGGGAGGCAGCAGUAAGGGAUAUUGGGCAAUGGGCGCAAGCCUGACCCAGCAACGCCGCGUGGAGGACGAAGGCCUUCGGGUCGUAAACUCCUUUUGACAGGGACGAGUAAGGACGGUACCUGUCGAAUCAGUCACGGCUAACUACGUGCCAGCAGCCGCGGUAAAACGUAGGUGGCGAGCGUUAUCCGGAUUUACUGGGCGUAAAGGGUGUGCAGGCGGGUCGUUAAGUGGUGCAUGAAAAUUCCGGGCUUAACCCGGAGACGCUGUGCCAGACUGACGGUCUUGAGUACGUGAGAGGGUUGUGGAAUUCCGGGUGUAGUGGUGAAAUGCGUAGAGAUCCGGAGGAACACCAGAGGCGAAGGCGGCAACCUGGCACGUUACUGACGCUCAUACACGACAGCAUGGGGAGCGAACGGGAUUAGAAACCCCGGUAGUCCAUGCCGUAAACGAUACUAGCUGGGCGUCGGAUGGUGCAAACCGUCCGGUGUCGAAGUCAACACGCUAAGCUAGCCGCCUGGGGAGUACGGUCGCAAGGCUAAAACUCAAAGGAAUUGACGGAAUCGA